This 279-nucleotide long non-coding RNA is filed under the name Panax ginseng (ginseng). Its description in RNAcentral is "long non-coding RNA (PGIN_LNC014487)". Lineage: Eukaryota; Viridiplantae; Streptophyta; Magnoliopsida; Apiales; Araliaceae. The record is from RNAcentral.
UAAAGCAUUAACAUGCCUGCAUUGUUGACGUUUUCCAGCUUAUAGUUACUCUCACACUGGAGCUAUCCCCCAACGGCCCCGACCAUCAUGCUUCUCAAUGUGUUUACCUAUUUUUUGUGCUGGAUUUGACUUGCUGUUUGGUGAUUUGUCGAGCAAACGGAUCUUGGCGUUAACAUUGAUGCUAGAAGGAGGGUUGUUUUAGUGCUAUUUUACAAUCACCAGUUUGCUUUAAGUUGAUCGUAUGACGAGUAAUGGAAGAUCAGUUUAUAACCAGGAGAG